GGGGUUGCAGCUCAGUGGUGGAGCACUUGCCUGGCAUGUAUGAGGCACUGGGUUUGAUUCUCAGCACCGCA
This 71-nucleotide transfer RNA is filed under the name Marmota monax (woodchuck). RNAcentral's name for it is "tRNA.Ala". It matches the Rfam family "tRNA". From Rfam's summary of the family: Transfer RNA (tRNA) molecules are approximately 80 nucleotides in length. Their secondary structure includes four short double-helical elements and three loops (D, anti-codon, and T loops). Further hydrogen bonds mediate the characteristic L-shaped molecular structure. tRNAs have two regions of fundamental functional importance: the anti-codon, which is responsible for specific mRNA codon recognition, and the 3' end, to which the tRNAs corresponding amino acid is attached (by aminoacyl-tRNA synthetases). tRNAs cope with the degeneracy of the genetic code in two manners: having more than one tRNA (with a specific anti-codon) for a particular amino acid; and 'wobble' base-pairing, i.e. permitting non-standard base-pairing at the 3rd anti-codon position. Lineage: Eukaryota; Metazoa; Chordata; Mammalia; Rodentia; Sciuridae. The record is from RNAcentral.